AGCGGAUGAAGGGAGCUUGCUCCUGGAUUCAGCGGCGGACGGGUGAGUAAUGCCUAGGAAUCUGCCUGGUAGUGGGGGAUAACGUCCGGAAACGGGCGCUAAUACCGCAUACGUCCUGAGGGAGAAAGUGGGGGAUCUUCGGACCUCACGCUAUCAGAUGAGCCUAGGUCGGAUUAGCUAGUUGGUGGGGUAAAGGCCUACCAAGGCGACGAUCCGUAACUGGUCUGAGAGGAUGAUCAGUCACACUGGAACUGAGACACGGUCCAGACUCCUACGGGAGGCAGCAGUGGGGAAUAUUGGACAAUGGGCGAAAGCCUGAUCCAGCCAUGCCGCGUGUGUGAAGAAGGUCUUCGGAUUGUAAAGCACUUUAAGUUGGGAGGAAGGGCAGUAAGUUAAUACCUUGCUGUUUUGACGUUACCAACAGAAUAAGCACCGGCUAACUUCGUGCCAGCAGCCGCGGUAAUACGAAGGGUGCAAGCGUUAAUCGGAAUUACUGGGCGUAAAGCGCGCGUAGGUGGUUCAGCAAGUUGGAUGUGAAAUCCCCGGGCUCAACCUGGGAACUGCAUCCAAAACUACUGAGCUAGAGUACGGUAGAGGGUGGUGGAAUUUCCUGUGUAGCGGUGAAAUGCGUAGAUAUAGGAAGGAACACCAGUGGCGAAGGCGACCACCUGGACUGAUACUGACACUGAGGUGCGAAAGCGUGGGGAGCAAACAGGAUUAGAUACCCUGGUAGUCCACGCCGUAAACGAUGUCGACUAGCCGUUGGGAUCCUUGAGAUCUUAUUGGCGCAGCUAACGCGAUAAGUCGACCGCCUGGGGAGUACGGCCUCAACGUUAAAACUCAGAGGAAUUGACGGGGACCCGCACAACCGUUGAAGCAUGUGGUUUAAUUCAAAACAACACGAAAAACCUUACCUGGCCCUUGAGAUACUGAGAGCUUUCCAAAAUAAGAAUGGUGCCU
This 960-nucleotide ribosomal RNA is filed under the name Pseudomonas aeruginosa. RNAcentral describes it as "bacterial SSU rRNA". It matches the Rfam family "Bacterial small subunit ribosomal RNA", at positions 65 to 1019 of the family's 1533-position model. The record is from RNAcentral. Lineage: Bacteria; Pseudomonadati; Pseudomonadota; Gammaproteobacteria; Pseudomonadales; Pseudomonadaceae.